Solanum tuberosum (potato) is the source of this 2995-nucleotide RNA transcript. It is a transcript of the gene named dicarboxylate transporter 2.1, chloroplastic-like, with no coding region annotated. The record is from RefSeq and is a predicted model, not a curated record. The transcript is spliced from 4 exons. NCBI's taxonomy places the organism in Eukaryota, Viridiplantae, Streptophyta, Magnoliopsida, Solanales, Solanaceae.
UCUUUGUUUUCUCAUCUCUAUCUUCUUUGUUUUCUCUCUUGAAUAUUAGAAUUAGAAUAAUUGUUGCAAAAAUUCGGGGUUGUGAUGAUGAUUUUCUUCUUUGUUUCUCCGAGAAUGAGAAAAUUGAUAGUGUAAGAGAGCAAUCGGACCCGUAUCUUGGCGGGGCAACCCGGAUGGAAGGUUAUCCUGCAACCGGUGCUUGCAGUCAUGGCGGUGAUUCCAAUCUCUCUUAUCGUAUUACAAAUCCGAGCUUCAAUGUUUAAAUUUCUUAGGGUCUAUUGAAAAUCGCCUCUUUACCUCCACAAGAUAGAGACAUGUAACAGUGCUUUAGGUUUAAUCCAUCUCUCGCCUUCUCUCGCGUAUGGCUGUAUGUACCUUUUAGAGACAGAAAGAGCACACUCAAGUUGCACGGUAAGCUAAGUAUUCAUUUUCACUAUUAGCCUUUUGUUUCUUGGUUCAUUUUGUUGACCGUUUCUAUUCUUCCGAAAAUUUGUUUUGACAUUCAAAAAUCGACUUGACCAUGAAAUCAGUAGACAAUGAAGAAGAAACAGAGCAAGUAGUUUUAGAGCUCUUUAUGUGUGUGGUGGUGUUGUAUCAGGUAAAUUAUUAUAUCGUAUUUUUAUUAUCAUUUUUUGGUUAUCUCUAUUUGUUUUUUUAUUAUAUUUUUUUGGGUUCUACGUUGAGAUUUCUCUGCAUCCAAAGAAGACCCAAUUCGGUUCUUCUGAUUCUAGGCAGAUUAGGUUGAUUUACUACAUUUGUAGAAUUUGACUAUUUGUUGAAUCCACUAAUUUGAGGUGACAAAUCUGGUAGCUCACUAGAUUUGCUUAACUGUUUAUUUACACAUAUUGCUCGAAUGUUAACCUGCUCCCUUUUUUCCUUCACUCUGCACUUUGAAAAAUAUUUGUUGUCUAUGUCUUUUGCAUCUUUGUUGUUUCAAAUACAAGUACUAACACCUAAUCAUUACUUUAUAAUUGUACAGGUAUUCCAUUUCAAGUUUAUAAGGAGGCUACAAGAAGUCUAAUUUAUGAAUAGUUACCUUGUGUGUGAUGUUAAAGAGUGUAUUUUAGCAUUUAUCAAUAUAAAAAUGAAGUCAUGGACAUUGUUCCAAAAUGUCUAUGAAUUAUGUCUUGAGUUGCUUUUCAAGGAGUAAGGUGUGAGUAAGUAUUGUUUAAUGAAGAAGGUAAAAAGGUGCAAUUCAAUUUUGAGACCAAGUGUUGAGUUGGUCUUUCACAUUAAACUUGAGAAAAAAAAAGGAACUAACUUCAGUAAAUGCAUAUUAGUACUGUAGGAUCUUACUCAUUCAUGAUGGCUUUCUUUUGUUACUUAAUUGUAAUUUUCCAAAACUUGUUUUGCUUGAACAGGGUUCAUCGUUUAGGGAAAUAUCAUAUUCGAAAAUAUUUUGCCACGAAUUGACAGAUUGCAGGAGAAGCAACACAGUAAAUUGGAUAAUGAAGCUUAUUUGGAUGAGAAUCACAUGCUAUUUAAAAAUAUCCAGUUCCUUGUCGAAGUAUUGCACCCUCUACUCUAUUUUAUUUCGUAUGAAAUCUCUUCUAAUUGCUGAUUUCUACACUUCUGAAUCGCACACAUGGGCACAUUGGAUGAUUCUUUUGACGAUCCUUCAUAAUGUGGCAUUUUUAUUCAAGUUGAAAGAAGAGGUAAAGAAGCUUCAAUCAAUCCAGCAAGCUAAAAGUGGCGUUGACAUAGUCUCUGAGAUAAGGGUGAAGACUCAUUAUGCUACACCAAUUGGUGCUGAUCAAAGAAUUGGCCAGUACUUAUCUAGCAUCUUUAAUUAUUAUUCAUUCUUGUUAAUGAUGAGGUUUAGUUUUGAGGUUUAUUGAAAAAUCAAGGUAAGGUCUACCUACAUUCUACCUUGAUGAGAUCCCACUUGUGGGAUCAAACUAGGUAUGUUGUUAUCGUCGUCAAAUUAGUAAUGUUUUGCUCCAUUUUUAAGAUUCUUAUAUUUGAAUUUGUGCAUAUGAUGUGUCUUUUACUGUAGUCUACAAAGCAGAUCGAAUUGCCACAUACUUUGUUAAGUGGUUGGGGAAGAGUACUCCUGGUUUGUCAUAUGGAUUGGCCCUGAGUGAGGCUUUGAUUGCACCUGCAAUGCCCAGCACUACGGCAAGAGAUGGUGGGGUAUUUUUGCCUAUUAUUAAGUCUCUCACUUUCAGCUGGAAGUAAACGUGGUGAACCCUCCUCCAAGAAGCUAGGAUCUUACUUGAUUCAAUCUCAAUUUCAGGGUAGUUGUAUAAGCCAACUAAACCAGAGAGCACGUAGUGGAGGCCUAUGUUUCUAUCCCCCGCAAAAGCUAAGGAAAACAUCUCUAACUUGUUAGGAUGGACACCGAUGUACUUGAAAACAUGAUCUGCAAGGAGGCCAGAAAGAGAGAGUCGCUGCAAUUGCUUGCAUUGUUGCAAAUGGCCCCAAAACCAGCAUCAAGUGCAUAUAUUGCAAAUGACUCAAUACAGUAACUGCAUUUGUAAAAAAAAUUGAGAAUAUCUCUUGUUAAAUUUUGCAUUUUUCUUGUAGAUUACCCUUUUCUGAGUACUUGUGUCCUUAGAGGUGCAAAAAAGCUUUGAUCUUUGCAUCUGAAUGUGACAACCCUGAUUACCUAACCCUUGGACUGCUUGACACUGGUUUUGGGGCCAUCAUUCACCAUUGCAGGCAAUUGUGACGACUUCCCCAUUCACGCCUCCACUACGUAUUCCUCCAGUUGUGUAAGCCUUUGUAAUCUGGAGAGAAGAGACUGCCCCUUCAGCAACGAGUCUCUGUUGGUCAAUGUUGCAAAGCUGGAGACGGUAGGAUAUCUUUAGAUGCCUUGUUGUUCAGUAAUUUAUGGAUCAGAAGUUACCAAGGGUUAAUGUGUGUAAUGUGUACUUUUACUUUUUCUUAAUUGUGUAAUGUGUACUGCUUUCUGUACACGUGUAGCACGAAUUUUAUGUCAAAAAAAAAGAAGGAAAUAUCCCAAUUCAUAUUGACUCUCACACCUUCCGCUUUA